Chelonia mydas (Green sea turtle) is the source of this 1150-nucleotide long non-coding RNA. RefSeq lists it as uncharacterized. The transcript has 4 exons. The record is from RefSeq and is a predicted model, not a curated record. NCBI's taxonomy places the organism in Eukaryota, Metazoa, Chordata, Testudines, Cheloniidae.
ACCUCCAAGUUGCCUGGGUAUUGGAAAUCCCUGAGGAAACUUGUUACUUUUGUAUGUUUAUGGUAAGGAGAGUGGUUUCUGGGGAAAACUGGUUAAUUGCUAUGGACUACACAGGUGAUCCCAACUUUCAUUAUUGUUUGUAUUAGAAUAACACCUAAAAGCCCCAGUUCAGCUUGAUGCCCUAUUGUGCACUGUACAGACACACAGUAAAAACAGACCCUGUCUCAAAGUACUUACAAUCUGAACAGACAAAACAGACACAGGGGUGCAAGGAAAGGACCAUAAUGAGGGACCCAAAAAAAGUUCUGAGGAAGGAAGGUGUAAGAUUUUUUUUUUUUUUUGAGAUGUGUCAAGUUCAAGAGUCCAAGAACUCUACAUUAGUGAUGUCCUAAAUUACAGUAACAAAUGAUGAGGUAACACUAGGUUUGUAGGUUUACAGAGCUAAAUGGAGGUGAAAAUGAAUGCCAUACCUUAUUACUAUUGACUGUCAGCUGUGUACUCAGCUUUGUAUAAAAGACACACUGGUAAUGAGGUAUGUUUGACAGCCAUGGGAGCCUUAGGUCCAUGCAGCUGAAGAGGACUCUAUUCAUUAAGGGGCCAUGCACCACACAUACUAAACCCAAUAUCCUCUGACCACUAUCCUCAAUUCCCCAUCCUGGGACUUGUCUUAGGUUGUGCAGGCACUAAAUCCCUACUCCUGCAAACUCUACUCAUGUAAAUAAAGACUGUUCAGUGUGUACAGUUUGACUACACUGAAGACGUGUUGCUUUUUAAAACGGAUGUGGUGAAGCAAAGAAAUUAGAAAAAAAAAUACCUUCGAAUAAGGAACCAACAUUUGUCUCGUGUCAAAUGAGCCUCUGCCAGAGUCUGGCCACCUUUUUCCCCAUACAGCUACUUGCUCCACAUCUAUCUCUAGGUAUUAGGCUAUAGGUGUGGCUGCAGAGACCAAAGGUCAUUCUCCAUUUUGGAAGACAGAGAAUCCUUGACUACAGGCGGCAGAACAGUGGCUGGCUGAAGCUUGCAGAAGACUCGCAUUGUAUGUAACGUUGAAAUAAAAAUAAUUUCGUUGUUAAAUACCAGCUGAACAGCAUGUACACAACCAGCAAGGAUGGACAGCCUGAAACCAUCAUCUGAACUGAGGUUUGGGAAC